CGCUACAUUUCCGCUAGCGCCCCAACACGAUUAAGCGUUAAAAAGAUGUAGGAGAAUAUUUAAGUUCAUGCUAAGGAUUCAUAAUUGUUCAUAUUGUCGUUUCAGGCUGCCUAGCGUGGACGAAAAGCUUCGACUAAAAUCUAUUUCGUAAUGUCAUUGCAGGUUGCCCACUUCUUGGACAUUCCGUGGUUGGUGGAUCGUGCGUGUAAGCUUCUGGCAGAGUUUGUCGAGGAAAAUGGUCUUGAUGAGAUACGGGAAGCUCUUGGUAACCGGGAUGACUUCUCUGAGUUAGAACAUCAAUGGUUUUGCAGGGUCGGAUUUCAAGGUUCCGAGAAGGCAAUCUCCAUAAAAUGCCAAAAUCUAUGGCGUCAAUUUGACAACCUGGCGAUGAAAGAAGGCA
This 400-nucleotide long non-coding RNA is filed under the name Linum usitatissimum (flax). RNAcentral describes it as "long non-coding RNA (LUSI_LNC007381)". The record is from RNAcentral. Lineage: Eukaryota; Viridiplantae; Streptophyta; Magnoliopsida; Malpighiales; Linaceae.